GCAUCUGAAGUCUGACGAGGAUGAGAACCUCCGGGGGCAAGAGGUUCGACCCGAGCGAAGCGAGAGAACGUUGCGUCAGCAACGGCCCGCAGUGGCAAGUCAUCCUCUGUCACCGGCCG
Molecule: small RNA, 119 nt
Filed under: Salmonella enterica
Lineage: Bacteria; Pseudomonadati; Pseudomonadota; Gammaproteobacteria; Enterobacterales; Enterobacteriaceae
Also listed under: 1 other name
Description: RtT sRNA
Rfam family: RtT RNA
About the family: This family represents a bacterial cis-regulatory element known as RtT RNA. The exact function of RtT is unknown although it is thought that it may be involved in changing the cellular response in relation to amino acid starvation.
Source: RNAcentral